Chinchilla lanigera (long-tailed chinchilla) is the source of this 1425-nucleotide long non-coding RNA. RefSeq lists it as uncharacterized. The transcript has 3 exons. Lineage: Eukaryota; Metazoa; Chordata; Mammalia; Rodentia; Chinchillidae. The record is from RefSeq and is a predicted model, not a curated record.
UCUCUGGGCUGAGCUGCUCAGGAACUGGCAAGGAGUUGGGUUGACAGCGGCCAUUCAGUAAGCGUUGCUGGCAUUGACUCAGUGAAGCACCGAGAAACAGGUGAAAGGACACGCUUGGCAGCCCCCAGAGCGGCUGUGUCUUCAUCUGACCAUCACCCAUGUACAAAGGAGCUGGCUCUGCCUCAGCUUUGCAGGGUGCCGUUAAGAACAGGUGGCUUAGAAAUGCUGGUGACACACCCCUCUGCAAGGCUCCACAAGGAGCCACAUUGAAUUGAUCAUCACAGAACGACCUGGCAGCCCUGUCCCAGGGAGACCCCUGCCUGAGUGGACUCUGGAGCCACUCUUAAUGUGUGACGGUGGUUGGGGCCAGCAGGUGGACAUAGGUGGGCCGCUGGCCACAGGCAGCCUCAUGUGGCCAGUGCAGCAAGGCACUAGCACGCCUGCAUGUUUUCACACUGAUUGGUUAGUGCUCAGACAUCUGGUUCACACUGAUUGGUUGGUGCUCACACAUCUGGAGCCUGUGCAUUAGGAGGAGCUGGGCCAGCUGCUGCUACACUGGGAUACAAGCUCAGCCAGAGUAAUUAGUCCACGAAGCCCUAGAAAGCAGGGAGGAAUUUCUCCUAUGGUGUGUGGUUGACAGAUUACAAGUGAUGCUUUGUUUUGGGGGAAAAUGAAUUUGGAGUGCUUUAAACCCAAUUUAGAUGAAUCAUUGCAUCUUUGCAUUUUGAGUAAGACAAGCGGAGAGGCUGGGAGCCUUUGUCACCAGGACUAUGCACAUGUGAAUGCUCUUCACUGCCUGUUAUUCAUCCAACUUCCCUCAUGCUUUAAGGACAGAUUCAGGUGCUAUCUUCUCCACAAAGCUUUUUCAGCUUAUAAAAAUUGCUAUGAUUUGCUGCUAAGCACUUUCUUGUCUAUACAACAACUCUGUGAAGAUUUUAAGGAUUUAAGGAGUGAGAUUUAGAGGUUUUUUUUGAGAGAAGAUCUCACUACUUAGUUCAGGGGGCCUUGAACUCACUUUGUAGCCCAGGCUGGCCUCAAACUCACAGGGAUCCUCCUGCCUCAGCCUCCUGAGUACUAGGAUCACAGGUAUCUGCCAAAUCUGUCUUGGGCACAGGGUUUACUUUCAACAUAACUGAUAGAGUUGCUGUGAAGGAUGAAAGGAUAAGGCCCUUUGUUGGGUAUGUUCUGAAGAACCGACGUCUUUAUAAGAUCUUCCCUCCAGAUCCGAGAAUAGUCCUGGGCAGGCAACACAAGCUUGUACAGUGUUUGGUAUGGGGGAAAGAAGUUUAUCAAAUAAAUGAAUAACUGAAGCAAAGACAACCCUUCCAAAGGGAGACAACACUCACUCUUGAUAAAAGAAACCUGUCUACCACCAACGGUGUGAGGCUAUGACAGCACAGUUCUGUCUCCUGGUAGAGAAAUUCC